GAUGAGAAUAUUGAUUUGGAAAUUCGAAGUAUUAAACAAUUGGUCUGGCCUUUGGCCAUGGUAAGGUAACUUCUGUUUUAUAAGGUUGGCCGAAUGAUAUCAUUGUUGUUUUCAUGUUUUCACGUUCGAUGAAAUGUUUGUGUGCUGACCAUGUUGUUUUUUUGGUUUCAGCCUGUUUUUUCUAACAUCCACCUUGGUCUCCUUCUCGAUCUUGCCUGCCUUGCUCUUGUGCUUCUCCUUGUCAGCUCAGGUAAAUGGACUGUUCUUUUGCUUGUCUUUGCACCGUUUCAUUAAAUGCUUGUGCUACUUCCAUUUUUCUUAUAGGCAUAGCUAAAUCCAGAGGUGUUUUGUAUUCAGAAUAAUAGGAAUAAAAUUUAGAGAAACACAAGUGUGCAGGCUGCCAAUUUAGUGCUCGUGUACAACCAUUCAUUAUUCUUCCUAUUUCUUUGUUCCAUUAAUUCAAGAGAACUACAAAAUGAUUAGGAGAGGUUUUCCCGCUCUUUAUAGUCAAGCUCGCCUAUCAGUUAGUGAUGGUGCUGGAUAUGGCCGCCAUGUAAGUUCUUCUACAAAACAGACAUACCCAAGCCUCUAUUGCAGGCAAGGUUUUCGCCUUGAGGUUCAUCCACUUGGAUGAAAGUGACCCAUGGUGAACUUUGGUUGUGGCGCAUGGUAUUAUUUUGGUACGCCGGUGUGUAAAUUUACCUGGUGGCUGUACGCUCUCGACCAAAAAAAAUUCAACGUGCGUAGCUACUCUGUUGGUGCGGCUAGCGAUAUUGGGUGCGCAUGGGCCAGCCUGCUCCGUUGACUUGCUUUUCUAGGGUUUAUACGGUGGUUGUAUACGUGGGCGGGCCUCCUUCCUUCUCUGGGCUGCGCGUCGCCCUUCGUCGACGUGUGGUGGGCUGCGUCAGUGUACGCGGUACCGCUUUGCGCUGGGAAGGCGGUGCCGACUCGACCGUCUGGCGUACAGCCUUCGAGUGCUUUUUGAUCGGUGCUGCUACAACAGUUUAGAUUUAAUUUAUGUUUAGUCUACGGCCUGCUAUACUAUUUUUGAUCGAUGCCGCUGUCGCCGUUGCGUCUACAGACUUUGCCGCUUAUAUAUCGCUGCCGCUUUCGUGGUGCAAUCUAGAGACCCUGAUAGAUACGUUGCAGGGGCUAUAAAUAGAUCGUUCUUCCUGCUAAGUUGUUCAAUGUAGGUCUUUGUUGCUGUCGCGUACAUUAACUCGAUGGUGGGCUCUUCUUUCCUUCUGUGUACGCACGCUGUGUACGUGCGGCCGAGUAGUUCAUCAGUCGACCGUCGGGUGCGGCCGAAUUUGGUUUACACAGGUUAAAUUACGUUAGCGUGGCCCAUGGUUUAGCCGGAGAGGUGUUGUGUUUUUUUUAUUGGCAAAGGGUGUUGGGAGCUGCGCGUGCGUGGUUGGUUGCAUGGGCUCUGCAUGUGCCUGCGUAAUUGCUUGGUCUACUCCAGAUUGUACGUGUGUGCUCGCCUGCAUGGCCCAUGCACGUGGUUGUGUAAUUGUUAGGUGUCUCGGCACGGCGUCGGCGGCACUAGCUACGCCGGCUCCCUGUUUUGACACGGCAGCGGCAAACAAGCGGCUCAAAACUAGGGCGUUUACGGAGCUGAUGAUGUUGUGGCAACGGCCGUCAUGGCGCACGGCGCCUUGGCACCCGUGGAGGCCGUGGAUGAGGAGAAGAACUUGAGGAAGUGGGGCAUCUGCCUGUCGGGGUUCGAGGGAAGGAGGAGAUCCGCUUUUUUGUCACGAAAGGGUGCGGCCAUGGAUUCCACGUCGUGUGCCCGUGUGCGUCGACGCCUGACUCCUACGUACAGUUUAUGUGUAUCGACUGCUGCUAUUCCUGUAGUCGGAUAUGGCUGAUGCUUACCUUCGAGAAGUUUAAUUCCCGCAUGAAAGGUAGGGGGGGACAACAGAGAGGCUAUUUUAUCUAAUACUCUACAAAAGUGACAUAUUUCCAACUAUGUUUAAUGUUGUCAAGCCGCUGACAAAAUUGGAGCACCUUGGCCGAUAGAGAAAAAUAUGAUCUUAAAUGUUGUUCUUCUGUUAUCAAACUCAUUCGAUGCCAACCAGGGAGAAUUGGGACCUAAUGAUGCUAUAGCACCUGCAAAAUGGUGGUGCAGCCGUGCAGGAGUUCGUAAUGAUGGGACUACAUCCGGCGAUAGAAGAUUUUGCUUUGUUUAUUAUAGAAUGGUCAUGUCAACAUUUCAAAAGAUGAUUCAAAUCCUAAAACCAAAGCUACUUCUGAUGUGUUUCUUGCUUACCGGUGCUGUGGUUUGCUUCUUUAGACUUGCUUACGCUCAGCAAUAUCUCUUUUCUAUUCACUUGUUGGAUCAGUUCAGUCAGUAUUCUGGGAAGAAUACUUCUAAGUAAUUAGAAGUGCCAUGCAAACCCUGGGCAGCACACCCUUUUGUCCAUUGGAUCUUAAUCUGAGGGUGUAGGGAAAAAGUGACUGAAACUUAAACUAAAUUAAAGCGAACAAGCAAAAACUGAAUAAUUAAUUAAAUAAUCAACAGGUCAAAUUUGAUAUCAGCAUACAAAGAAUUUCUCACAUAACGUAUCAAUAGGCGCGGCGUGCCGCCGCGCGGGCAUGGCUAGUAUUUACUAUAUCUAUUUUAUUGGGAAUUUCAAGUGAUUUUCCGCUGUUAAACAACUAUUGUUCUAACAAAAUCUAUGUUUCAAGCAUGUCUUCAAUAUUUACUUUGAAAAAACUAAAUAAGAAAUUUUUCGUUAUAGAUUGGGUUAGAGAACUGACCAAUCUCGUCAUCGCCAUCCCUCCCAAUUUUAAUAUGGUAAAAUAAACUGUGUGCCAUACCUGAUGAAAAUACAUAGCCAUGUGGUGGGAGUUUUCCUUCCUGUAGUUUUUAGUGUGUAAUGACACAGUGUGAUUAAGCUAAUCUUAGAGAUUGUUAAUGUCAACUCUCUUUUCAUCUGAUUUCCAUUUUUGACAUGGACAUAUACCAUGUGGUAUACUCCCUCUGUAAAUAAAUAUAAGAGCGUUUAGAUCACUUCCCUCCGUAAAGAAAUCUAAGAGCUUUUAGAUCACUAAAGUAGUGAUCUAAACGCUCUUAUAUUUAUUUACGGAGGGAGUAAUAUUUAAGAAGAAUGACUUGGAAAUUUCAAAUAGAUGGUUACUCUUACCCGUAGUUUAUUUGGGAGUGAGAUAUGUAUGCUGAUAGCGUCUAGAGAUACCUUCUAAUCAAUAAAAAUAAGAUCUGAUCGUGCACUAUAUGUUGAUUCUCUUACAUAUGUAUUAUGACAAAAUUAAGGCACAUAUGUUGAUAUUGGACUGAUAACCUUAGUACAUGAAAAGGUGUUGAAAAGGACGCAAUCCUUCAAAGAUAUGUAGUACUCCUGUCCUAAAAUAAGUGUCUUAACCUUAGUACUUUAGUACAAAGUUGAGACACUUAUUUUGAGACGGGAAUAUGUUAUAGGAUCCUCACUUUAUUUGUACCCAUAUGUUGUAAGGAGAUUAUCUUGUCCACUUAUUAUUCUUAUUAUUUGUCCUUUUCGUAUUAAUCGUGAGCUGAUGUUAAUUUGCAUAUUAGUCCAAGAACAACAAUUGCUCUUUGUUGUGGCAUUACUAGAGAAAUACAAAGGUAUAUACCCGCUUCCCACUACCCAGUCGAGGAGAUCCCUGAGGCAUUUGAAUCUUGUGGGACUCCCGCACAUCUUAUAGGAGCAUCAACAAGUGGAUGGGCCUAUCCAUUUUUAAGAAAAGCUUUAGGCCUUGUUCGGUUGACAGGGAUUUAGGAGGGGUUUGGCAGGGAUUGAGGUGGAUAUAAUCUCCCACAAGUCAAAAUCCACCCAAAUCCCCUCCAAUCCUCUUAAGAAGAGGUGUAACCGAACAAGGCCUUAGAUGUGUUCAGACAGUUUCUGAUUCAAACGAAAACAAAUAAGAAAGGAUAUAUUGAUUAUAUUACGUAAACUUAUUUGAUUUUCCAGUGAAGUUCAAACUUGAGAACUUAUUCGAGUAUUUAGUGCAAAGAUAAUUAAAUGAAGUUCCCAAAAUGCCUCUGUCGGUUUUAGUUGCAUUUGAAUUUUUUUAUUUGGAUCCUUGUACAUUCAAACAGUUUCUGUUUCAAAAGCAAACAACUGAGAGAAGAUAAAAUGCUGAAGCAACACCCUAACAGUGGUUGCAGUAGAUCUCUCUCUCUCUCUCUCUCUCUCUCUCUCUCUCCAUUUUGGUUGACCAUUCUUUCUUUUCUUAGGUCUUCGAUCCGCUUUCUUCUUCAACGAAGCUGACCAUGAUCUCCUACAUGUGUUGCCGUGCUCCCUGAAGCAUCCUUCUCUCUUCUAGAUCCAACUCUUUUCGUUCUGGUUUUAACUAUGCUUAUGAUUGCCUGUCUUGCCUAUAUUCAUUCGCCAUACGCAAGUCUACUGGUGCGUGCCAACGGAAAUUAUAUUUGCAUAAUCAGAUUAGAUUAUAUGAUUUCCUGACCUUGAUUCCCCCUCGAUUGGUUACUAAAAUAUAUGUACAAUUCUUCCAUUCUGUGCUUACAAUCGCAAAGUUAAUGCCUUCAAUUUACUUAAGCUAUAGAAAUCCGUUUGAUUUCCUCUAGACAUAGGUAUCAUUGUAUUCCUGAAUCCAUUUGAUUUCAUGUCUCUGCUGUUAUAUUUAUGAUCUUGUAAUCGCAUGUCAUCGGUUUGCUCAGGGGUUAUUGGAUUCUUGAUGGUCAUGCAUGCUAAAACUUUUUCGAUCAUCAUUCUUAAUAUACACUCCAUUUACAGCUUGUGCCUAACCUUUGGAUUUAUCUUUUUUCAAAGUGCUCCUCAUGGAGUUGGUUGAGCUAUCCAACAAGUUUCUGGCUGACGUAAUGUUUGAAAAGCUCUUGCUCCUAAACCAGUCUACUUCGUAAGUAGCUCGAGUAGGGUGGAUAUGCGUGUAGUUGAGUUUUACCCCACAAAGGAGCAUCUCCACAUUUCAGUAGAAUGAAUUGCGCUGUCAAG
This 4958-nucleotide long non-coding RNA is filed under the name Triticum aestivum (bread wheat). RNAcentral describes it as "long non-coding RNA (TAES_LNC010835)". The record is from RNAcentral. Lineage: Eukaryota; Viridiplantae; Streptophyta; Magnoliopsida; Poales; Poaceae.